GACGAACCGUGCGAACGUUGUUCGGAUUCACUGGGCUUAAAGGGCGCGUAGGCGGUCGACCAAGUCUGGGGUGAAAUCCCUCGGCUUAACCGAGGAACUGCCUGUCAGACUGGAAGGCUUGAGACCGGGAGAGGUGAGUGGAAUUCCCAGUGUAGCGGUGAAAUGCGUAGAUAUUGGGAGGAACACCAGUGGCGAAGGCGGCUCACUGGACCGGAACUGACGCUGAGGCGCGAAAGCGUGGGGAGCAAACAGG
RNAcentral lists this ribosomal RNA (253 nucleotides) under uncultured bacterium. RNAcentral's name for it is "partial 16S ribosomal RNA". It matches the Rfam family "Bacterial small subunit ribosomal RNA", at positions 524 to 776 of the family's 1533-position model. The record is from RNAcentral.